This 492-nucleotide ribosomal RNA is filed under the name uncultured bacterium. Its description in RNAcentral is "bacterial SSU rRNA". It matches the Rfam family "Bacterial small subunit ribosomal RNA", at positions 17 to 507 of the family's 1533-position model. The record is from RNAcentral.
UCAUGGCUCAGGAUGAACGCUAGCGGCAGGCCUAAUACAUGCAAGUCGAACGGGCUUAUGUUUUUCGGAAUAUGAGUUAGUGGCGCACGGGUGAGUAACACGUACAUAACCUACCUUCAAGAGGGGGAUAGCCUUGGGAAACUGAGAGUAAUACCCCAUAGUAUCAAGUUGCGGCAUCGUGAGUUGAUUAAAGCUGAGGUGCUUGAAGAUGGAUGUGCGUCUGAUUAGCUAGUUGGUGAGGUAACGGCUCACCAAGGCGACGAUCAGUAGGGGGCGUGAGAGCGUGGCCCCCCANACGGGUACUGAGACACGGACCCGACUCCUACGGGAGGCAGCAGUAAGGAUAUUGGUCAAUGGAGGGAACUCUGAACCAGCCAUGCCGCGUGAAGGAUGACGGCCCUCUGGGUUGUAAACUUCUUUUGGAUGGGGCGAAAAAACGGGNUUUAUCCUGGACUGACGGUACCAUCAGAAUAAGCACCGGCUAACUCCGUG